AUCUUUAUAAUAUAUAAAAUAUAUAAUAUUUUCAAUAUUAAAAUGAAAAAAUUUCUAAAGAUA
RNAcentral lists this transfer RNA (63 nucleotides) under Pallenopsis patagonica. Its description in RNAcentral is "tRNA-Glu". Lineage: Eukaryota; Metazoa; Arthropoda; Pycnogonida; Pantopoda; Pallenopsidae. The record is from RNAcentral.